UUUAAGGUGAUGGCUAACUGAACCUUUGACUGGUAACCUAACUGUAGAUAGCAUUUAACUUGAAGAAAAACAAAGUAGAAAUGUUUGGGUAGUUUACAAUGUAUGUGUUUUAGGUGCCAUCUGUUUGUUAUAUGUCUGUGACUCGAACCAUUAACAGGAACUAGUUGUAAAAGAGAAACAGAAAUUGUACUGACUAAGGCCACCAGAAAUGUGGUAAUGGCUAAAAGAAGAUAUAAAAGGAAAUGUUAAAGCAAAGGAUGGGGCGGACAUCGAUCAGACGAGUUUUGGGCGGUCCCCCUCACUAGCGAGUAAAGGCUUUGGUUUUUUACCCAAAUUCUGUGUCUCUGUACAUUUCUUUCCACAAUUGCAGAACAUUUGGUUCCCUGACUGACCGGGAAUUGGGAAAGAAGUGGCCCUUUUGGCUAUUGGCCCAAACUCCACUGGAGGGAGAGGCUCUCUGUCUCCUCCAGAGGAAAGGCACCCCUGGGACUAAUUUCCUAGGCUCCCCAACAGGACACAGAGAUCCGCUUACCAGUUGCAGAUCGCCUGAACUCGAGAAUGGAAGACGACAGAAGGAGGACUGCUGCUGUUGGUGUCUUGUCUGUCUCCUUCCUUGGCUGGGUGCAGAGGGGUGGGGACAACAGCCUGAGAAUUGCUCAACUUUGGUGCACCACAGGGUGCGUGCUGUGGUCAGACUCAGAGAGGAUCGAAUGGGGCUCGCACUCAAAUUGGAUAAAGGAAUUGAAAAGAGAAAAUAAGUAAUGGAUUGAAAACAGCUAAGAAAGCUCUGAAGGGCAUAAAACAAGCCAGAGAAAUUGUUACCAUCACGAUGAGAUCUCUUCCUGGAUCUAAAUGCAGAGACGCAGAGACGCAGUUCCUCAUUGGGUGACAGUUAUUGUAGCUCCCAAUUUAGAUAACAAAUCUCUUCCCAGUAAGGGGAUAGGACAUUUUAGAUUCAUACAUGGGUGUGAGAACUGAUACAGAGACCCAUACCUGCCUUACCCAGGCAGACCCUCUGGUGACCUCUUAUGAAAAGAAAGCACAAUGUUACAGAGGCUGACACAGUUGGAAGACAGAAUAUGUAUUUCCACCUCGCUUCCCACUAAGCCAGCGCCCUCUCUCAUCAAGGGCAACCUGUCCUCAUUCUCCUUCUCCAUAAUGUCAUCAUUUCAAGAACAUUAUUUAAAUGGAGUCAUGCAGUAUGGAGACUUCCAGUUCCGGCUUUUCUCGCUCAGGACAUUUGUGGGAGCCUCAGCUGACUUGUCCUCUCUGUGGUUUGUUUCUGUCUCUCUGGAUGUACCAUGACUUGUUUGCUCACUAACAGAGGGACAACCAGGUUGCUUCCAAGGGGCCAUCAUGAAGAGAGCUGCUAUAAAUGCUGGUGCAGGUGUCUAUGUGAGCACAGACCUUCUUCUCAUGAGAGAAAUGCCCUUUCACUGCAGCCUGUGGUAGUGGUGUGCUUAUUUUUUCUAAGAAACUGCCAACCUUUUUCCAGAGUGACUGUGCCAUUUGCAUCCCCACCAGUAGCGUACAAGUGCUCGAGCGUCCUCAAAACUUCCCCAGCAGUUGUCAUGGUCACUAUUUUUCAUCUUGGGCAUUCUGAGAGGUAUGCGGUGACACCUCAUCCUGACAACCAGGAACGUCUUCGUGGACUCACCUGCUGUCCGCCUGUCCUCUCCACUGACACAUGGAAAGGAAAAGCCAGUGGACACUUCCCCAGCAGUGGCGACCCUUACCCACAUUCUUCUGUGCCCUAUAAUUAUGAAGCCCAUUAAAUCUGUUUACUGUACCAGGCAUUCUUCCGGCCUCUUGGAUAGGAAACCUUGCACAAACCCAACAGACUUGUGACCACAGACCCAAAGACUCAAUCCCCAGAACAGCCAGCCUUGGCUUCCACCUUCCCUCAGUGCCUCAUAGGCCCUGCUCUGUAAGAGAAGCUGCUGUUGCUGCCUCAGAGCCCAGGGCCCCUCUCAGGUCUUUAUCUAAAUAAAGCCUGUCCUUGCUGCCAGGUUUUCUUUCUCUUUUUAUUUCUUA
Non-coding RNA from Heterocephalus glaber (naked mole-rat), 2034 nucleotides. Lineage: Eukaryota; Metazoa; Chordata; Mammalia; Rodentia; Bathyergidae. The record is from RefSeq and is a predicted model, not a curated record.